RNAcentral lists this ribosomal RNA (468 nucleotides) under uncultured bacterium. RNAcentral describes it as "partial 16S ribosomal RNA". It matches the Rfam family "Bacterial small subunit ribosomal RNA", at positions 28 to 507 of the family's 1533-position model. The record is from RNAcentral.
GACGAACGCUGGCGGCGUGCUUAACACAUGCGAGUCGAACGGAAAGGCCCUGCUUUUGUGGGGUGCUCGAGUGGCGAACGGGUGAGUAACACGUGAGUAACCUGCCCUUGACUUUGGGAUAACUUCAGGAAACUGGGGCUAAUACCGGAUAGGAGCUCCUGCUGCAUGGUGGGGGUUGGAAAGUUUCGGCGGUUGGGGAUGGAUUCGCGGCUUAUCAGCUUGUUGGUGGGGUAGUGGCUUACCAAGGCUAUGACGGGUAGCCGGCCUGAGAGGGUGACCGGCGACAUGGGGACUGAGAGACGGCCCAGACUCCUACGGGACGCAGCAGUGGGGAAUAUUGCAGAAUGGGCGGAAGCCUGAUGCAGCAACGCCGCGUGCGGGAUGACGGCCUUCGGGUUGUAAACCGCUUUCGCCUGUGACGAAGCGUGAGUGACGGUAAUGGGUAAAGAAGCACCGGCUAACUACGUG